GUAGGUAUAGUUUAGACAAAACAUUAGAAUGUGACCCUAAAAACAGGAAGUAAACCAAUCCUUACUUACC
This 70-nucleotide transfer RNA is filed under the name Paleosuchus palpebrosus (Cuvier's dwarf caiman). RNAcentral's name for it is "tRNA-His". The record is from RNAcentral. Lineage: Eukaryota; Metazoa; Chordata; Crocodylia; Alligatoridae.